AGUGAACGCUGGCGGUAGGCCUAACACAUGCAAGUCGAACGGCAGCACAGUAAGAGCUUGCUCUUACGGGUGGCGAGUGGCGGACGGGUGAGGAAUACAUCGGAAUCUACUUUUUCGUGGGGGAUAACGUAGGGAAACUUACGCUAAUACCGCAUACGACCUACGGGUGAAAGCAGGGGAUCUUCGGACCUUGCGCGAUUGAAUGAGCCGAUGUCGGAUUAGCUAGUUGGCGGGGUAAAGGCCCACCAAGGCGACGAUCCGUAGCUGGUCUGAGAGGAUGAUCAGCCACACUGGAACUGAGACACGGUCCAGACUCCUACGGGAGGCAGCAGUGGGGAAUAUUGGACAAUGGGCGCAAGCCUGAUCCAGCCAUACCGCGUGGGCGAAGAAGGUCUUCGGGUUGUAAAGCCCUUUUGUUGGGAAAGAAAAGCAGCAGGUUAAUACCCCGCUGUUCUGACGGUACCCAAAGAAUAAGCACCGGCUAACUUCGUG
RNAcentral lists this ribosomal RNA (492 nucleotides) under uncultured bacterium. Its description in RNAcentral is "partial 16S ribosomal RNA". It matches the Rfam family "Bacterial small subunit ribosomal RNA", at positions 29 to 507 of the family's 1533-position model. The record is from RNAcentral.